RNAcentral lists this ribosomal RNA (253 nucleotides) under uncultured bacterium. RNAcentral's name for it is "partial 16S ribosomal RNA". It matches the Rfam family "Bacterial small subunit ribosomal RNA", at positions 524 to 776 of the family's 1533-position model. The record is from RNAcentral.
UACAGAGGUCUCAAGCGUUGUUCGGAUUCAUUGGGCGUAAAGGGUGUGUAGGUGGCGCCGUAAGUCGGGUGUGAAAUUUCGGAGCUUAACUCCGAAGCUGCAUUCGAUACUGCGGUGCUUGAGGACUGGAGAGGAGACUGGAAUUCAUGGUGUAGCAGUGAAGUGCGUAGAGAUCAUGAGGAAGACCAGUGGCGAAGGCGGGUCUCUGGACAGUUCCUGACACUGAGACACGAAGGCCAGGGGAGCAAACGGG